UUCAAGGUCAUCCUCAAGCAUAGAGCGAGUUU
RNAcentral lists this non-coding RNA (32 nucleotides) under Mus musculus (house mouse). Lineage: Eukaryota; Metazoa; Chordata; Mammalia; Rodentia; Muridae. The record is from RNAcentral.